This 7624-nucleotide long non-coding RNA is filed under the name Equus caballus (horse). RNAcentral's name for it is "lncRNA (ENSECAG00000055125.1)". Lineage: Eukaryota; Metazoa; Chordata; Mammalia; Perissodactyla; Equidae. The record is from RNAcentral.
AUAGAAGACUUCAUUUGUUUGGAGAAAGAAGAAUAUUAGAGGUUUUCUCAGGGUGAAUACUUACUAAAGGAUGUGCUUCAGAAAUCUGUGAGUAAUGAGAACACGGAUGGGAAGGAGAGAAAAAAGAUGGAGGCUAGUUGGGAAGCCACUACUUCAAUUCUGAAAUAAAUAAUAAAACCUGAACUAAAAUAGUGACAGCAGUGAUGGAAAACAGAGAAAAGAUGCAAAGGAUUUCUCAGAGUAAGCCUUGUUGGGACUCUCUAGUGGGUUGGAUGUGGGGAGCAAGGAAAAGGCAGAGGUUGAAGAUUGGCAGCUUGGAUAAGCACCUUCAACAGAACAGGGCACAUGAGAGUAGGAAACAUUUGCAUGCAAGCAAAAGAAAAAAAAAAGUGAUUAUUUGCAACACAUUAGGAUUGAGAUACCAACAAGAUCUCCAGGUUGAAAUGUCUAAUGCAGAUUGGAAAUAACGGGUGAGAAGGUUGGAGAGAUACAGUAUUAGACAUGUGGUUCUGGGAGUCACUUGUGGGUUAGCACAAUCUUUAGUUUGCAUGAGAUUCCCCACGGAGCCUGUCAAGAGCAACAAGAGGGUGAAUGACUGGUCAGGAGGUGAUGUCAACAUCAAGACAAACAAGGAAUGGUAAACAAAAGAGGAAAUAAAAGAAGGGACAGAGAGGGGCAAGGGAAGCAGAACAAGAGAACGUGCGUUAAGCCAAUGGAGAGGGUUUCCAGAGGCACACGUGGUUGCUCCUCAGUUAUUUGUUAGAUAAAUGGACCAGUGGAUAAAUGGCUAAAUAAGCAAAUACAAAUAUUUUCAGUCAUGAGCCUUGUGUUUCCCGCAGGCUAACAGACCUGUUUGUUUACCUUGUAAGUUAGCUUUCUGAGAACAAAGCAGUGGAAUUUUCCGAGGUGUCAAAUUCUAAAGAAUAGAAUUUUGUCAUCCAUUCUCCUCCUCAGAUAAAUGUUAAAAUGGAAACUCUACCUAGCACUCUGCUGGAAUUCACAACAUAGUAGCUGGAAACUUGUUGCCCAAGCUGCCAUCUUCAUCUGGCCAUGUAGGAGUCAUAUGAGAAUAAGACCUCACACAGAGGGCAGCAGGGAUGAAAAAGAGAAGAAACCAGGCCCUAGCAAUUUUAUUUACAUCCUGAUCAAACCUUUCCUGAUUUCAAUCCUAACUCUGGACUUUUCAGAGGAUCAGAGGAAAGGAUCUAACCAAAUCCCCACGAUGAGAAGCAGUCCCUGGAACCAGAAGUGGAAGUGUCAAAACUCUCACCAGAAAGCUAGCUAUGAGAGGUUCUAUCCAAGCUGGCAAGCCCAGGUGGUUUGGAAAGUACAAAUAAGAGACCAAAUUGUCGGGGAAAUGAGGACUAGAAUCCUGGAGGGCAGUGUGACACUUUGCUGUCUUUAAAUUUGAAAAGAUUUAUUGGUCAGAUCUGUGUAUGAUGAAAAAGAAGUGCCAAACAUCCAGGAGAAAUUAAAUUUCACGAGAGGUAAAAAUAAGUCAAUAAGAGCAUUUAAAAGUUAAAUGACAAAUUUGUAGAAUUAAUUGCACUAUGAAUUUUAGAUAUGCGAUCUGGUAGGGUGCCAUAUUACAGAGGGGUCUUACUGCAUUGGAUUACUUAGAUCCCAGCACGUCUUAAAAACAUUCAGGUCCUUUCCCCAACAUUACUUCUUUUUGGAGUUAACUUGACAGGAGAUUACUAGUCUGUUAUGCUAAUUAUUUGAUGAUCUUUUACUUUCACCCAUUUAGGUCACUAAUAAGAUGCUCCACUUGACCUUCCUGUAAUUGAUUCUCCAGAAUGAUUAUUUUCAAUGCCAACCCAAUCCCAGCCUGCCCCUGGUUGAAACCCUCCAGUAGCUCCUCAUUCCUAACAGGACAGGACCUGACCCCACCUCCCACUUAGCAACAUGGGAAGAGACACACCUCUUCUCGAUCUGGCCCUCAUUUGCUUUUCUGGACUCACAUGUCCCCAUCUGAUACCUAGUCCUUGCCCCAGCCGUAAGGAACUUCUUUUAGUUCCUGACCUGGAGGCUGGGUCCCUCUUCCCUCUCUGCCUUCUGGGAUUCCAUACUUGGUAUUCCUUCUACGUGGAAUAUUAUUCCCACCCUCUCACCCCUACAACCACAGCUUCCAUUGACCAUGCCUACUCAUCCUCCAGAUCUCAGCUUUAGUGUCACUUUCUCUGGAAAGCCUUCUGUAAGCUGGAAGUCCCUGCUGUGUGACCCUUCUAGGCACUCCCAGACUUGACCCCAUCAGCACUUAGCCCACUGUAUGGUGAUUGCUCGCUCACUUGUGUAGAUCCGCUGUUAAACUGUAAGGUCUAUGAGGAUGUGUAGUGGGCAGAGUAAUACCCCCCAAGAAUGUCCACAUCGUAACCCUGGAAACCGUGAGUAUGUGAUGGUACACAGCAAAGGGAAAUUAAGGUUGCAGGUGGAAUUAAGGCUGAUAGUUAACUUUAAGGUAGGGAGAUUAUUCUGGAUUAUCUAGGUGGGCCCGAUGUAAUCACAAGGGUCCUUAAAAGUACAAAAGGGAGGCAGAAGAGGAAAGUCAGAGAGAGGUAUGAGUAUGGGAGAAUGAGCGGAGAGAUGCAAUGUUGCUGGCUUUGAAGAUGGAAGCAGGGAGCCCUGGGCCAAGGAAUGUGGGCAGUCUCUAGAAGCUGGAAAAGGCAAGGAAAUGGAUUCAUUCCUAGAGCUGCCAGAAGGGAAUGUAGCCCUGCAGAUGCCUUGAUUUUGGCCCAGUGAGGCCCAUUUUGUACUUCUAACCCACAGAACUGGAAGAUAAUCAAGUUGUGUUAUUUUAAGCCACGAGGUAUAUGGUAAUUUGUUAGAGCAGCAAGAGAAAAAAUAACACAGGAAAGAAAUGCUGUCUCUCUUGCUCACAGUUGUAGCCCAAGGUCCAUAAUAGUCCGUGGAAUGUGGUAAAUGGCUUGAUAGCCAUUCAUUGAAUGGGAAACUAGAAUGUCAGGCCAAGGAAUGGCUCUGGAGGAAUGCUCUGUAAGUAUCCAUGUUGCUAAUUGUGAUGCUCAUCGCCUUCUUCCAAUCAUCCUGCCUGUGAAAGGUGAUCCUCCAUUGUGUACUUAUUUCCCUUUUCUCUUUCUUGCUAAAGAUGAAGAAUAUUUUUCUAUUUGGAAGAAGGUAAGACGAUCCAUAUACUAAAAGACAUGAGAGAGAAGAAAGGUGAGAAACUGGGCCAGGAGAGAAAGUUGUAGCACUCUAAGGAGGACAGAGUAAACGAAAGGCUAGGAGCACUGAAGCAUGCUGUAAGGACUUAUGAUGGAUGUCAUUGAGGGUUAUGAACUAGAUCUGCAUUAAUGCUCUCUGUAAGACAAAAGUCUAAGAUGGGAUUAUUUUAAAGUCACUUAUGACUAUUAAAUUGUAUGUCUGUAGAAAAACUUUCUGCAAAGGCUGAGUUUGGCCAUUCUACAUUUAUUAGGGUUCCACUUCUUUUGACACAAUAGCACAAUGAUAGGGACACACUGUUAAGUCCAUUUUGGGUGUGUGAAGUUGAAGCAAACUAGGUAUAUAUCUCUGUCAACUGAACAGUAUUUUUUUUCCAGCUAAUUGAGCUCCUGGGAAACAAGGACAUGAGCUCUUGGUUCAUUACGUUCAAGAUAAGUCCAGCAACAUGUUGAUUUAUCUGGGCACCUUUGGAAUCCUUCAUAAGCAGCUGGGUUCACACAGGAGCCACAGAGGCAUCAAAAAGCCCCUGGAAGAAUUUAGUUAAUUGCCAUUACACUCACAGUUAUGUUACACUUUUGUUAGUUGCUUUUCUCCUUUUGUAAAGCUUAAGUGAGAAGAAGCUUUGCUUUUAAUAACUUAACUUUUAGUAAGAAGAUAUUUUGUACAUUAAAUCUGUAAGCAAUUUUCUUCAAAAUCCAGCUACAAAGAAGCUAAAAUGAAAGGAAACUGUUCUGAAAAAAAUUUCCCAAUAUUUUGGAACUUAAGAAGAGUGAGGAAAAUAAAGUUGCCAUGGAUACUAAAAAGAAAACAGUAGAACUUUUUCCAAAAUUCCUAGGUUAUAGGAAAAAAAUAUCUUUGAAUUGCAAGCUUGGAGAAAAUUUGUGACGUCCAUUUUCUGUACAUUUGCUAAAUAGGACAAGAGCACUGAAAUAAUACAGAUGCCAAAGGUUGAUUUUUAAAGACAAAAUUGGCUGUCAUCCUUGUAACAGCACUGACAGAGCAAUUGUGUUUCAUGUUGAAAAGCCCACAGGCACCAGGAGCAAAGCUAUAGACCUGUCUCCAGUGCUUCUCACCAGUGACACACAGCGAUAUGAAUAUUUCAAUGGCAUUUCUGAAGUUUCCCUUUCAGGAAAUGUUGGGCUGGUUUAAUCCAUUAACCCCUGAAGACACCAGAUUUAUAAUACAAACCUUAAAGUUCACGGAUUUAGCUUAGUAGCUAAAACCACUUCUUUUCUCUCUUCCUAAGAGCCUAAAUUUUCUGCUCUGAGGAGUAAGUCAGGAACAACUCAGGCUUGUGUUGCCUAACUUGCAGAUGCUUAUUUUCAAACCUCUGUUUACUUGUGAAGAUAAAGCACGCAUCUUAAAAAUAAAUUAAAACAGCAAAAGAAGGUUUACAAUGAAAAGGCAUCCUUGAAAUUAUAAUUAUGGUCUUUUGUUACGAUUUGCUAAUGGCUGACGCCUCCACUAGACUGUUCUCUCCAAGAGGGGAUUGGAUUAUUGUAUUCAGUCAGCAAUUGUGACAGCAGGUUCCUUAGUGUCCAGCGUAGAGCUUGGCAUAUCACGGCCUCUCAAUAAAUAAUUCUUGGUUGAAAACAUCAGAGGAAACAAGCUAUCUGAUAUAAGCUCAAGUCUACAAAUGAGACAUGAGGUGACGUGUCUAAGAAAAUGAAGUGGGUUGUGGCAGAAAUUUCACUAGAAUCCAGAAUGGACCCCAGGCUGCAUGACUCCCACUCAGUGUUCUUAUUACCACAGUCAGUUUAAAUGGAAAUUCUUUUCCUAAUAAUCCUCAAGGCAAGAGUCGCAUGGCAACUAGAUUAAAGAACUCUGUAGGGCUCUUGUCUUCCAUUCCAAAUUAAAUGCAUCCAAGGUACCUAUGACUUGCCCACCAGUUUCAGGUGUAGAAGGUGAAGAAUUAAGGAAAGCUCCUCCAUUAGAAGAUGAAGGAUGGGUGCUAUGUGUGGUCUUGGCAUCUCAAACAAACAAACAAACAAACAAAUGUGGAACAAUGUACGUCAAGCCAUCACCUAUCUCCUUAGUUGCUUCUCUUAUAAAGGAGUGAACGAGAAGUGGAGAGAGAAAAUGAAAUUGUUAAAUCUUAAAAUUUCACUCACCAUCCACUCCUAUCCAAGGGUAGGGAAGCUUAUUUCACUUCUUAUGAAACUGUGGAGAUUAGGGAAUAAAGAGUUUCACAAAACACUCCCCAAUUCUUGUUUUCAUGACCUGUAGCAUCUAUAGGUACCUCCUAUUAUCAAAUUUCCAGAGAGAAAUGCAAGUCCAAGAAAUGAAAUAAAUUCCCUCAAAUUAAAUGAAAAGAAACUACAGUCCAGAUUUCUGCUUUCCUUGAUCUCUCCUCCUGCUCUGUCCCAAUCGGAGGGAACUCACAAGGACACUAGGCAUUUGCUGUGGUGAGGUCCCAGGAGAAGUGGCCAGCACAUCAACAGUAUUGCUCUCCCGUGGCAUCCUGAUGGGGGACUAUCCAUGGGCUCCAUCUAGAGACAGCUUCUACUUCCUUUUACAGGAAAUGGCAUCUGAACAGAGCAUGAGUAAGCUUCAAGUGACUUCUCCGGCAUAUUGAGAAGAGCUCUCCUCUUUGCAGGAGUCAGAAAGAUGAUAGCAGAUGGAGCACUGGACGGGGAGCAGUGCUCCUGCUUGCAUUUCCGUGAGGUCGGCUUCCUAACCUAACUGGACAGCCUCACACUCCUCCUAAAGGAGGUGUCGCAGCCCUUCAAGUGACGAGAAUAUGUGCGAAAGCCCUGAGGCAGGAGUGUGCUUGGCACAUCUAUGGUACAUUAAGGACUGCAUAGUAGCUGGAGCCCAGAUCAAAGGGGAGCAUGGACAGAGAAGACGUCAGAGAGGAACCAGGAGCAAGAUCAUGUAGGUCCCUGACAACAAGAAUGGAGACUCCUCUGAGACGAUAUGGCACACAGAAGAAUUUGAGGGCUCAAUGGCAGAUGAUCACAGAAGGGGGGUGUCUCUCAUGGAAUUCUAAGAUGGAAGCCUUUUGUAAAGAUAAUGACAGCAUAUUGGAGGUAACGAACAACUUGUGGAGGGUUGAGACUGAAAUCAAUGACUACACAUAAAGCAAUUAUGCUGCACGGCAUAAAAGAGAUGCCGCGCUCUCCUCAGAGCUUAAUCCCUCCCUGAAAGAGAAUUGAGAAAGACAUUCGGGCUGCCAAUGCUGCACUGAGCGAAUCAGUAAGAAGUGACUGUAGAGUUGGCACUGCUUCCAUUUAUAUAAUCACCUUGGAGGAGCUUUGCUUUGGAAUCAGGAGUGAAGCAUUCCGGGGGCUGUGACUGUCUUACCUCCUUCAGAAGACUGUGUCUAUACAGUAACCUGCUGGUAGUGAAGGUGAGAAAACUGAAGUCAGAGGUUAAGUCAUUGGUCCAAGAUCGCACAGUGAUGAAGUGCCAGAGCUAUGACUUUACUUCCAGGGCUGUUUGACUCCAAGGACUUCUGCAUUUUAUUGUCCUGCUUGCACUUGGCCCUGGGGUGAACCAAGGCAAUAGCAAGCUGACACUCAUGCUUGGUGUAUGAAUGAGGACUCUCAGUGGCGUCCCUAAGAGGGCAUCCAAACUAGUAUGAUCUUGAUUACCUGUUUAAGAUCUAAUUUUCCCUUAACACAGAUAUUGGGAAAGGACUCUUGGAAAAGGCAGGAAUUCUGGGCUUUGGCCCCAUGCUCGGGGACUCCCUCCUGGGUUUCUCACAGUAGUGUGCGUGUGGUUUACCCCAGCUCCUCCUCCUGCCAGCUGGAGGGUCAGUUUAGUUAAACAAACAUUUAGUGAGCAGGCACUUCCUAAGUAAACUACACCAGUAUUAGAUCUGGAAACAAGAAACAAAUCAAGCUCCCUCUCUGACCCUGAGGCCUGACAAUUUAAUCUCUUCUACUUGCAUUGUCCUUCCACUCCAACCACAGGCAAUUGAGAGUCACAUUAGCUACACAGCCUUCUGCUGUAAUUUGAGAAUUGUAGGCUGCGUGUUCCAGGCCUGCUCUGUCACUAAAGGGCCAUGGGCCUGUAUCACAGUCUCUACAUGAGAUGGCCAUGUGGCAACUGCCCCUCCUCAUGUCACACAAAUAUCUUUCAUCUUUUCAUUAUGGACUAGGACAUAACUCUCUUCUGAGAGCUGGGGCUGCCUUUUGCUACAGGAAGAAGAGGGUUUGCUCCUUGUUCUUCAGGGUCUCAGUUUCUACGUCACUUUAGUUCCUACACACUUUCUUUCAUAGUUUGAUGGGUGUCUGUUUCAAUAAACUGCGUGUUUGUUACUGGCAAUGCCAGUGGGAGGUAGUUUUUUUAAGUGUCCCUAUUUCAGGCUCUGAGGGAGCAUCUUAUAACAUCUUUCCAGGUUUCCUUCUCUUAUUUUUGGUGACUGUCUCUGUGCUAAAAACAAACAUAAUUCCCAUGUACUAUCCCUUUUCAGCAUUUUUAUUUUGGAGAUGACUGUGCCAAC